RNAcentral lists this unclassified non-coding RNA (841 nucleotides) under Hevea brasiliensis (rubber tree). The record is from RNAcentral. Lineage: Eukaryota; Viridiplantae; Streptophyta; Magnoliopsida; Malpighiales; Euphorbiaceae.
ACUCAGUUUUUCUCUUCUUGAAGUUUCAAUAAUCUUCCAUUAACAAGUGUUAGCAAUCAUUAACAGCAGCAAAAGAGGAUAAGAUGAAGUUGGAUGUUAACGUUUUGAGAUACCUUUCGAAAGAUGAUUUCAGGGUCCUUACUGCCGUUGAGAUGGGAAUGCGCAAUCAUGAGAUUGUGCCUUGUGAGCUCAUUGACCGGAUUGCUCGCCUCAAGCAUGGAGGCACAUAUAAAGUGUUGAAGAAUUUGCUAAAGCACAAAUUAGUGCAUCAUGACUCUUCUAAAUAUGAUGGAUUUCGACUCACCUACCUUGGUUAUGAUUUCCUUGCGAUAAAGACUUUGGUUAAUCGUGGGAUGUUUAAUGGAGUGGGUCGUCAAAUUGGUGUUGGAAAAGAGUCUGAUAUUUUUGAGGUUGUAAAGGAAGAUGGCACAGUUCUUGCAAUGAAGUUGCACAGACUUGGUAGGGUUUCUUUUAGGGCAGUCAAAUCGAAACGUGACUAUUUGAGGCAUCGUAGUAGCUACAAUUGGCUGUACUUGUCCCGACUUGCUGCUUUGAAAGAGUUUGCUUUUAUGAAGGCACUAGAAGAACAUGGAUUUCCUGUUCCUCAGGCUGUGGAUUGCAACCGACAUUGUGUGAUUAUGUCACUUGUCCCAGGCUAUCCACUUGUGCAGGUUAGGGAGCUGCAAAACCCAGAUGUGGUUUUUGAAACAAUCAUCGCUGCUGUUAUUCGUUUGGCAGAACACGGGCUUAUUCACUGUGAUUUUAAUGAAUUUAACAUAAUGAUUGAUGAUGAUGAAAAGGUCACCAUAAUUGAUUUCCCACAAAUGGUGUCAGUCUCUCA